Molecule: long non-coding RNA, 934 nt
Filed under: Cricetulus griseus (Chinese hamster)
Lineage: Eukaryota; Metazoa; Chordata; Mammalia; Rodentia; Cricetidae
Description: lncRNA (ENSCGRG00000025514.1)
Source: RNAcentral
GUUAGGUACUAUGUGAACACGUGUGCACUUGGUGUGGUUCCACCCACUUUAAAACAUGGUUCACUGCUUGUGUAUUACAUGAUGUCUCAUGUUGUUCUGUGUGCAUGUAGCAUCUAUGCCUCUGAACCAUGUAUGUUGUGUGUGCAUAUAUGGUGUACAUAUGUUGGUAUUCUGGCUUCAGAUAGCUCUGCACAAUCCUCCCGUGUGCAAGUGGCCAUCCAGACCCUGGAUGAAAAUGACAAUGCUCCCCAACUGGCCGAGCCCUAUGACAUUUUUGUGUGUGAUUCUGCAGCCCCCGGCCAGGUAAGCAGCAGAGGUAGAUGGGUUAGACUCUCAAGGCCUCCAGCAGCCAUCCCACUGAAAAGCCUUUCAUCUUCCUCCCAGUUGAUUCAGGUCAUCCGGGCUCUAGACAAAGACGAAGUUGGCAACAGUAGCCAAGUCUCCCUUCAAGGUCCUGUGGGCCCUGAUGCUAACUUUACAGUCCGGGACAACCGAGAUGGCUCUGCCAGCCUGCUGCUGCCUUCCCGCCCUGCUCCACCCCGUCAGGCCCCCUACUUGGUUCCUAUAGAACUUUGGGAUUGGGGACAGCCAGCUCUGAGCAGCACUGCCACGGUGACUAUCAGUGUGUGUCGCUGCCGUCCCGAUGGCUCCAUGGCAUCCUGCUGGCCUGAGGCUCAGCUGUCACCCACCGGCCUCAGCACUGGUGCCCUGCUUGCCAUUGUCACCUGUAUGGGCACCCUACUUGGUGAGUCUGGCCACAGUGAGAUGAGGUGUGCUAGGCCUGUUCUGUGUGGAGGGAGAAAGCAUGUCUAGACAUAGGGCAUGAAUGACCAACUCCCUCCGGUCUGGAUUUCCUACUACCGGACAGGUCCAAGAGAAAACAUCUGGUCUCAUACAGUGGACCUGCCAUUCCGUGAUCGUAACUAGCCUUAUA